This 529-nucleotide ribosomal RNA is filed under the name uncultured Alternaria. RNAcentral's name for it is "eukaryotic LSU rRNA". The stretch from base 176 to 329 matches the Rfam family "5.8S ribosomal RNA". The record is from RNAcentral. Lineage: Eukaryota; Fungi; Ascomycota; Dothideomycetes; Pleosporales; Pleosporaceae.
GGGAUCAUUACACAAAUAUGAAGGCGGGCUGGAACCUCUCGGGGUUACAGCCUUGCUGAAUUAUUCACCCUUGUCUUUUGCGUACUUCUUGUUUCCUUGGUGGGUUCGCCCACCACUAGGACAAACAUAAACCUUUUGUAAUUGCAAUCAGCGUCAGUAACAAAUUAAUAAUUACAACUUUCAACAACGGAUCUCUUGGUUCUGGCAUCGAUGAAGAACGCAGCGAAAUGCGAUAAGUAGUGUGAAUUGCAGAAUUCAGUGAAUCAUCGAAUCUUUGAACGCACAUUGCGCCCUUUGGUAUUCCAAAGGGCAUGCCUGUUCGAGCGUCAUUUGUACCCUCAAGCUUUGCUUGGUGUUGGGCGUCUUGUCUCUAGCUUUGCUGGAGACUCGCCUUAAAGUAAUUGGCAGCCGGCCUACUGGUUUCGGAGCGCAGCACAAGUCGCACUCUCUAUCAGCAAAGGUCUAGCAUCCAUUAAGCCUUUUUUUCAACUUUUGACCUCGGAUCAGGUAGGGAUACCCGCUGAACUUA